UCCUGGUUAUGGACAGCUUGGACAGUCUC
RNAcentral lists this non-coding RNA (29 nucleotides) under Rattus norvegicus (Norway rat). The record is from RNAcentral. Lineage: Eukaryota; Metazoa; Chordata; Mammalia; Rodentia; Muridae.